CCUACGGGUGGCAGCAGUGAGGAAUAUUGGUCAAUGGGCGGAAGUCUGAACCAGCCAAGUAGCGUGCAGGAUGACGGCCCUACGGGUUGUAAACUGCUUUUAUACGGGAAUAACGAGCCUUACGUGUAGGGCUUUGCAUGUACCGUAUGAAUAAGGACCGGCUAAUUCCGUGCCAGCAGCCGCGGUAAUACGGAGCAUUCAAGCGUUAUCCGGAUUUAUUGGGUUUAAAGGGUGCGUAGGCGGUCGGAUAAGUUAGUGGUGAAAUCUAGAGGCUCAACUUCGAAAUUGCAUCUGAUACUGUGCGGCUAGAGAGCAGUUGAGGUAGGCGGAAUGUGUGGUGUAGCGGUGAAAUGCUUAGAGAUCACACAGAACACCGAUUGCGAAGGCAGCUUACCAAGCUAAUUCUGACGUUGAGGCACGAAAGCGUGGGGAGCAAACAGGAAUAGAUACCCCAGUAGUC
Molecule: ribosomal RNA, 460 nt
Filed under: uncultured bacterium
Lineage: Bacteria
Description: partial 16S ribosomal RNA
Rfam family: Bacterial small subunit ribosomal RNA
Source: RNAcentral